ACGAGGGGUGCAAGCGUUGUUCGGAAUCACUGGGCGUAAAGAGAGCGUAGGUGGAUGAUCAAGUCAGAUGUUUAAUUUCAAGGCCUAACCUUGGGUAUGCAUUUGAAACUGGUCGUCUUGAAUAGUUCAGGGGCUGAUGGAAUACUUGGUGUAGCGGUGGAAUGCGUAGAUAUCAAGUGGAACACCAAUGGCGAAGGCAAUCAGCUGGGGACAUAUUGACACUGAGGCUCGAAAGCGCGGGUAGCAAACAGG
RNAcentral lists this ribosomal RNA (252 nucleotides) under uncultured bacterium. RNAcentral describes it as "partial 16S ribosomal RNA". It matches the Rfam family "Bacterial small subunit ribosomal RNA", at positions 525 to 776 of the family's 1533-position model. The record is from RNAcentral.